This is a long non-coding RNA of Phyllostomus discolor (pale spear-nosed bat), 4488 nucleotides long. RefSeq lists it as uncharacterized. The record is from RefSeq and is a predicted model, not a curated record. The transcript is spliced from 2 exons. NCBI's taxonomy places the organism in Eukaryota, Metazoa, Chordata, Mammalia, Chiroptera, Phyllostomidae.
AAUAGUCAAAGCGUUCUGAAAUCACACAGUGACACCUUAUUGUUUUGGCUUCAUGACACCAUUGUUGUUUGCAAGUAGCCCCUUCUCCGAGGAAGGAAAAGGGUUGUGUAUUCUAAAUACAAAGGAAUUCUCAGCAUGGCUGGGACCCCUGGGAUUACCUGAAGGGAGACCAUCACAAACAUUUUUUUAGUUUUUUUUAUGGAUAAGCAUUGUAUCCAAAAGACUGUUAUUUAACAUGGUAGCUAUACAUUUAUUCAGAGGCUUCCCUCAUUCCUCUAACCAGCAUUCAUAGACUAUCUGUCAGGUGUCAUGUCCUGUGAUCAAAGCAGGGAAGUGAGAGAGGAGGAAUGAUCUUGGGCACCUGGGGCUCCUCAAAGGUGGGCACCUAUCUGCCCUCUUUGGCUCAGAUGUGUCAGGUUUGGUUGGAAGGGAUAUCUUUACCAGUCUCAGCAUUCAGGUUAGAAAUCCAGGGAGUGAACUAUAGGAUCCCAAACCCUUUCUCCCUGUACCUAAAUGGGUCCCCUCCUUGGGGUCUUCACCCUCCUUCCUCCUGCUUCCUGUGGCAUCACUCGAGUCUGCUCUUACUGCCUGUUUCAGUCUCUGACUCUCCACAGCUGUGCAGCUGCAUCUCCAUCAGAGACAUCAUACCUGCUGAUUCUUUGCUUUAUUUGAGGGCAUCUUAUAUUCUCUGACUUCUCUUCUAAUCCUUGGAGUAUUGUCUUUUUUCUCUUUUCUCUUUGGUUAGGGAUCAGGAAGGCAGCGCACCAUGGCAGUCAGGAUGGGCCGCACAUCUACAUCAUGCAGCUUGUCUCUGGGCCUGCCCGUUGUGCAGCCAGGCUGACCGCUUUCUCCUCACUCCCCAGACCCUUUCCCGCCAUUGUUCUUCUAAACCAAGACCCUGUUUGCCCAGUGACUCUGUUCUCAAUCCCUGCAGAUGAUCUUAUUUCCUACUCAGCUGAGAGAGAUUGGACUGUCAAAUGGAGUUGGUUCAGAGCUUGUUCACGUUUAAACCUCAGUCUUUGCAUCUGUUCUUUUUCUCCUGUCCUCAAGGUCUCCAGAGCCCUUUCCCCCUCACCACACUACUUGGAAAGUUGAUCCAGUGUCUGAGGGUUUACUUACCCCAUCUCCUCUCCCCACCAGUUCAGGCUUCCUUUCCCCACCUGUCUACACAUAGAUCCUUCUGGGUUAAAACUUUGCUCAGUUCUGUUCCCCCUUUAACACUAUUUUCUGGCUUUGUCAACUGUCAGCUGACUUUGCCUUUUUGUUUAUUGAGAAGACCUUGCUGAGCUCUGGGUGAUGGGGAUGUACUGAUGAAUAAUGUACUGAUGAAUAAUGUGAGGGCUCUGCUUCAUGGAGCUUACAUUUUCGUGCAGGAAUUAGUUAGCACAGGUGAUCAAUACCUGUAUGGUAGACUCUGAGGGACUGAGAGUAGUAAAGCCAGGUAAAGUAGUGUCAGAGCAUGCUGCUGUUUUAGCUCGAUGGGCUGAGUUGACAGUGUCAGGCAGAGACCUGUAUGGAACAAGGACAGGAGCACAUAUGUGUGGGUAGAGUGAGUGAAAAGGCUGGCAGGGGUUAGCUCUUUGAGCUUCAGAGGCCUCGUUAGAAUUUUGGAUUUUCUUCUGAGUGUGGCAGGGAGCCCACAAAGGUCUCCAGCAGAGCAGCUGUUCACUCUGGCUGCUGCUUCAGUGAAGAUUCUUAUAAAUAAAUGAUCGAGGGGAAAUGAAGUCAAAGUGGAUCUUAGGUGUGGACCUAGAACCUGGGUGCGCAGUGGUGCUGUAAUUGAGCAGAAGGAGACUGGAGAGAGGCCAGGGGUGGAGGUCAGAUUAGCAUUUGACACAUCCAUAGGUGCUUGCUGCUGAAGGCCAAGUGAGCUGCUGGGUGGCUGCCAGCACAGCCCAGGGAGGAGUUAGGACAGUCUUAGCAGCCUGGACAGCCACUGUGAGAGGGCACUCAGUAAGGGGAGUGGUCAGAGACUUGAGCCUGGGUCAUCCCCGCUCACAGAGAUUGGCAUGUGGAAGGAACUGUUCUGGAAGGCAGAGAAGGGGACUCGUAGCCAGUGAGUUGAGAGGACAUAGACCUGAGGGCCACAGGACCAAACUGUUUCUGACAGAGGAUGCCAAAGCCUGGCCAGAUGCUGCUGAGUGGUCUAGUGCAUUAGGCCUGGGCCUGACCUAUGGCUUGUCCCCAAGUUGUUGUUGACAGUGGCAGUUUGGAAGUGGGAGGGGGAUUUGAGAGAGAGGUGAGGAAAUGCAAACAGUGCACAGGGCAGAUUCUCCCCAGUGGAUUCACUAUAAAGGGGAGCAGCGGUCUGAUAGCCAAGGGUCUGUGGGGAAGGGAGGGGGUUCCUUGUUGGUCUAUUUUAGGUGUUAGGGAACGUUUGUCUCUCCACCUGGUUCCAGCCUCACUCCUUGUCUCCUCCACUCUGCUGCCAUGCUAUGCAGCAGCCAUUAGUGGCCUACUGAGGACAGACAUUGACGGGUCUUUUUCAUGUCUGUUCUGUAUCUUACCUCUGAGGCCACCUUGACCUCUCGCUCCUUGUGCUCCCUGGGACUGCUGUGACUACAUUCCUCCUGGAGCCUGUGGGGAGUCUGACUGCCAGAUUUUCUGGAGGCCCAGGCUGUGCUUUCUGUAGAGCCCGUGACAAUAUGUCUUCUUGGUUGGGGAGCUCCAACAGAUCACAUGCACUUGGCUUUAUUUUCUCCCAGGGUCACGUGUGGUGGGAUUAGGUGGCUCAGAGUCUAGAUGAGCAAACUUGCUGUCUGACUUCAGACAGGAUCAGGUGGCGGGGACUCUAGGUCUUUGUCCAGUAGUAACUAUUGCUCUUAAAUGUUAAGGGUAAUUGCAACACCUGUGAAGGCCCUUGAACCCAGGGACUUUUGCACCAGUUGAAACCUUAGUGGCAUACAUUGUAUUGAGAGAAAGAAAAGGAAACUCUUUGCCUGAAGAAAAGCCUCAAUAUGCAUACCACUCUCCCUUUAGCCAUAAUUUACGCGUUGAAGAGAGACUAGAGCAACUGCAAGAGCAAACUCCCCUUGAGACAGGUGAGGCAAAUCCUGGGGACACCCCUGUGGCAGCCUGGAAACUGGGGCUCUGGAGAUUCUGACCAGACUCAGUCCCUGCUCCCAGGAGGUGGAGCUGACUUCCAAGACACUCCUGAGCACACACCCACCCUUCCUCCCAGGCUAUAGCAAGGAUGCCCUUCCCUCCUGUUGGGAUGUAGACUGAGGGGUUUCAGAGGCUGUUAUUUGUUUAGUCUGUAUGUUUCCUCCACCCGCAACUUGCUCAUCCUUGUGUGUCCCCUCUUGCAGCUUGAGGCAGUGUACCUAGGCCUCAGGAGGCUGGGCUUCAAUCCUGUGAAGGAUUUGUGGCCUUGAGUCAGUUUCUUUGCUUAACCUCUCUGGGCCACAUUCCUCUGCAAAGUACAGGCCUUGGGCUCACCAGGUGCUGGUAUAGGCCUGGUCUGUGCUAAUCCUCUCAGGAAUUUACCCUCUCCGUGCAUUAGCACAGACUUCUCAGUGCCCUGGGGCAUUGACUGUGCUGAGGGAGGUAGAAACAUUCUAGGAUGGGAAAUGGACCAAUGAGGUCUGAAAAAGUGCUUCUGGAGGAUGAGAAAUGUGUGUGGUUGGAGGGAACACAGGCUUGGAACUGUGAUCUUCAACAUCUGUCAUAUCUAAAACCUGUUAAUCACCUUAGCUGAGGAGAGAACUAGAAGUUUCCCUCACAUAGGAAACAGGAACUCGGAAUGGUCAGAUAAGGGACAGAACCUGUGAAGCAGGAAGAGCCUCUGGGCUGCAGGCUCCUGGGAAACAGCAUUCCUAACUGGUGAAGCUACUUGGCUAGUAGUCCAGGUGGGGCCACCUGCCCAGGCAGCAUUGAACUCCUGCUUAGGGUUGGGCGGGCCAGAGUCUGUAGCCUUCCCUGUAGAGGAGACAGAGCAGGGCAAAGAGGGAAGGAGGCCUGGCUGAGACCCUUUGCAUUCCUUAGAAGUAAGGUUUGUUUUUUACCUUACUUCAGGUUCCUGUUAAACAUCCUAGUUGGAAGGGUUUGGGUAGUCGCUUGUGGGACUGGAAGCAGGACAGGUUUGGGCAGCUCUGGUGGCCGAUCUCUUCCUCCCAGGCUUGUCCUCACUGUAGUGCAGCUUCAAGUUCCUACCAUGGUGGGAGAUGGUAGUGCCUUGGAAAUAGGAGCAAGAUGGAACACCCUGAGCACAAGCCAACCCCUUCCUGUCCUUGGUUGCAAAGGAGUGGCAAAGUACCUGUAGAUUUCCAUUAAUGGGCUCAGCUGUUUGGUGUUUCUAGAAGAAAGAAGUUAUAUGGGAUCCAUUUAUUGUUGCAAUCCUGUUUGGAAAAGAGAAUAGAAAUAAAAUAUCACACUGUAAUGGUGUCCAAAGAAAAGAUGGUUUUGUUCCUUGAGUCUCUCUUCAGUGGAUGCCCAAAAAAUAGAUUGAAUCAAGAAGUUAAUAAAAUGGCAUUUCCCUUAUAAGACUUG